GUGUCAGCAGCCGCGGUAAAACGUAGGACGCAAGCGUUAUCCGGAGUUACUGGGCGUAAAGCGCGGGCAGGCGGCUUCCGAAGUCUGAGGUGAAAGCGCCCGGCUCAACCGGGCGAGGCCCUUGGAAACUGGGGAGCUGGAGGGCAGUAGAGGCAGGCGGAAUUCCGGGUGGAGUGGUGAAAUGCGUAGAGAUCCGGAGGAACACCAGAGGCGAAGGCGGCCUGCUGGGCUGCACCUGACGCUGAGCCGCGAAAGCCAGGGGAGCGAACGGGAUUAGAUACCCUCGUAGUCC
RNAcentral lists this ribosomal RNA (292 nucleotides) under uncultured bacterium. RNAcentral describes it as "partial 16S ribosomal RNA". It matches the Rfam family "Bacterial small subunit ribosomal RNA", at positions 505 to 796 of the family's 1533-position model. The record is from RNAcentral.